Molecule: transfer RNA, 83 nt
Filed under: Candidatus Roizmanbacteria bacterium RIFCSPLOWO2_01_FULL_45_11
Lineage: Bacteria; Candidatus Roizmaniibacteriota
Description: tRNA-Ser
Rfam family: tRNA
About the family: Transfer RNA (tRNA) molecules are approximately 80 nucleotides in length. Their secondary structure includes four short double-helical elements and three loops (D, anti-codon, and T loops).
Source: RNAcentral
GGAGGGUUGGCAGAACGGCUAAUGCACCGCUUUCGAAAAGCGGCGUCCGUAAGGACUUGCAGGUUCAAAUCCUGUGCCCUCCG